This is a long non-coding RNA of Drosophila miranda, 464 nucleotides long. RefSeq lists it as uncharacterized. The transcript has 3 exons. NCBI's taxonomy places the organism in Eukaryota, Metazoa, Arthropoda, Insecta, Diptera, Drosophilidae. The record is from RefSeq and is a predicted model, not a curated record.
CAGAUUUUUCCAAUUCGGACCAGACUAUUAUAGUACGGCUACUGAAAGGAAUAUUUAGAUAACUUAUUAGAUCUACCGAUUACAACUUUGACUUAAAUCGAAUCUAUGAAAUCUAAAAAAAUAUAUAUUCACUGAAGAAUUGUUCGCAAAACAGCACAGCAUGACCAGUGGUGGGCUAAAAAGCACCCCCCUUAUCAAUCUGGAGCGCUUCCAAAAUGUCCGCAAAUCCUAUUUUUACACUUUGCAAGUCUUCAGCUUAAUUUGGUAGGAAGUGACAUCAAAUGAAAUCAACAAUUUGAAACACCAUUUCAACAACGCCCUCCAUACUUGUUUACAUUACAUUAAAACUAGCUUCUUAAUACAUAAGUCGAAUUAUAACUUGUAACAGGCCUCAUGAAGCUAUGGCAGACGUAAGCAGAGUGGGCUAAGUUGUACAAUAUAUGACCUAUAUAUGCAUUUUUUUU